RNAcentral lists this long non-coding RNA (464 nucleotides) under Mytilus galloprovincialis (Mediterranean mussel). Lineage: Eukaryota; Metazoa; Mollusca; Bivalvia; Mytilida; Mytilidae. The record is from RNAcentral.
AAAGAAAAAAUGUUAGGUCUGUUAGAUUGUAGGUUAAAUAUUAGUAUAGAAAUGGCUAGUAAGUAAAAUGUAUUUCUGAAUUUAUAAUUUGAUAUUUAUUUGCAUUAAAACAUUUUACUUUUGAAUACAAAUAUUUUUCUGCCAAUUUAUAAUGUAGUGCACAUAUUCCCCUUAACAUAAGAUAAUUAAUUAUGGCCAUUAACACCAAAUAACAUCUCAAAUUCAUUUAAUUGCCUAUAACUCAUCAUUAACCAGACAUUCAAAUAUGGCAUUACAUGUUUCUGAAAACUUUUUUUUUUUUUUUUAAAUUAAGCAAUUUGUUGAUGAUGAAGAUCUUUGAUAGUCUCAGCUAGAUUAAUACACUUUUUCUAAAUAAGUGUUUAAAAUGAGGGACAAAAGAUACCAAAUGGACAUUUAAACGCAUCAAUCGAAAUAAACUGACAACACCAUGGCCAAGAAAACAA